GACGAACGCUGGCGGCGUGCCUAAUACAUGCAAGUAGAACGCUGAAGGAGGAGCUUGCUUCUCUGGAUGAGUUGCGAACGGGUGAGUAACGCGUAGGUAACCUGCCUGGUAGCGGGGGAUAACUAUUGGAAACGAUAGCUAAUACCGCAUAAUAGCAGUUGUUGCAUGACAACUGUUUGAAAGGUGCAAUUGCACCACUACCAGAUGGACCUGCGUUGUAUUAGCUAGUUGGUGGGGUAACGGCUCACCAAGGCGACGAUACAUAGCCGACCUGAGAGGGGGAGUGGCCACACUGAGACUGUGACACGGCCCAGACUGCUUGGGGUGGCAGCAGGAGUGAUUCGGCGGCAAGGGACGGAAGUCUGAGCGAGCAACGCGGCGGGAGGGUGGAAGGUUGUCGGGUCGUAAAGCUCGGUUGUAGGAGAGUAACCAGCUUUAGAGUGUAAAGUACAGUCUGUGACGGUAACUUACCAGAAAGGGACGGCUAACUACGUG
This 495-nucleotide ribosomal RNA is filed under the name uncultured bacterium. Its description in RNAcentral is "partial 16S ribosomal RNA". It matches the Rfam family "Bacterial small subunit ribosomal RNA", at positions 28 to 507 of the family's 1533-position model. The record is from RNAcentral.